Molecule: unclassified non-coding RNA, 425 nt
Filed under: soil metagenome
Description: partial contains 5.8S ribosomal RNA, internal transcribed spacer 2, and large subunit ribosomal RNA
Rfam family: 5.8S ribosomal RNA (bases 1-120)
Source: RNAcentral
GAUGAAGAACGUAGUGAAAUGCGAUAAGUAGUGUGAAUUGCAGAAUUCCGUGAAUCAUCGAAUCUUUGAACGCACAUUGCGCCUUCUGGUAUUCCGGAAGGCAUGCCUGUUCGAGGGUCAUUAACAACCGUUUCGAUCCCUUUCUUUCAGAAAUUACAAAGAGGAAAAGGGUUUGGUUAUGGUGGAGGAGGGAAAGGGAGCGUUUAGCCUGUAAAAAAAGAGGCUGUGUUCCGCCUCCCCCCCAAAAUUGUACAGGCGGUCGUGUGCGCCCACGCAUCGAGGUGUUGUAAAAGCUGCCACGGCACUUUUCACCUGUGCAGUGCGAGAUUGGCCAGCCGGUUUAAAAACCCCUCCAAACAAUCAAAGGUUGACCUCGGAUCAGGUAGGGAUACCCGCUGAACUUAAGCAUAUCAAUAAGCGGAGGA